GCGAGAGUGGCGAAAUUGGUAGACGCACCAGAUUUAGGAUCUGGCGGUUUCGGCUGUGUGGGUUCGAGUCCCUCCUCUCGCACCA
RNAcentral lists this transfer RNA (85 nucleotides) under Acidobacteriota bacterium. Its description in RNAcentral is "Acidobacteria bacterium tRNA-Leu". It matches the Rfam family "tRNA". Rfam says of the family: Transfer RNA (tRNA) molecules are approximately 80 nucleotides in length. Their secondary structure includes four short double-helical elements and three loops (D, anti-codon, and T loops). Lineage: Bacteria; Pseudomonadati; Acidobacteriota. The record is from RNAcentral.